RNAcentral lists this long non-coding RNA (1448 nucleotides) under Ictidomys tridecemlineatus (thirteen-lined ground squirrel). RNAcentral's name for it is "lncRNA (ENSSTOG00000031812.1)". The record is from RNAcentral. Lineage: Eukaryota; Metazoa; Chordata; Mammalia; Rodentia; Sciuridae.
UAAUAAUUACACUACUAAAUCCCUGACACUGUGCUUACCAGGCGCUCUGUGUAAGACCUCACUUAAUCCUCAUAUUAUUCCUGUUUUACAUGUGAGGACAGAGACCCCAUAGAGGUGACUUCCCAUAUUCAUCUGACUCCCUGCUCUGAUGGCCUGUCACCCACGGGCACUUACUCAGGCGGACCCUGUCCACCUUCUGACACCGGGAAGCAUGAUGCGUAUCUUGGUGGCCAGAUCUUCUUUCUGCUCAUCUGGGCUGCCAGUGUCCCGCCCACUCUUGCACCCCGCCAGGCUGUGGGGGUGCCUUCCUGCGGCCAAUGUGUCCACCAGAGUUCACAUGCUGAGUCUUAACCCUGGAGCUCAGAGUGGACUGCAGAAGCACCCAACCUCGGAAGGUGCGAUUUACACGUUAAACUCCGUCAUGCUGCAGAGUUGGAAUCAUUCGGUAGAAGCUGCACUUGGAACGUUGAAUCUGAUCCUUCCUGGGUUGGUGACAUGUGGGAGGUCCUGUUUUGCACAGCUGGGCAGUUCUCUCAGCCCUGCCACCACCAGGGGAGCAAGUGACCCUCUGCAGCGUGCCGUGCUGCUGAGCGGGCUCUUGGGUGGAUCCGGGGCAUUUGAUGCAUUUCGACUCAGUGUAUUUUCAACUUACAAUGGACUUAUUGGGGGUGACCCCUUCAUACUCAAAGGGCUUCUGUAUUUGGUGUCUUUCCAGAAAUGAUUAAGCGGUCACCAGGGUGGCCUCACCCUACAAGACUGGUGUCCUAAGAGAGACAGCCAUGUGAGGGCUCAGGAGGGGAUGUCCAUGGAGGGGCCUCAGAGGAAACCAGCCAAACCUUGAUCUCAGACUCCCGGCCUCCAGGACUGGGUUGUUGAAGUCACCCAGACGAGGGCACUUGGUCAUAUGGCCCAAGAAGAUGGGCUUUCCACCCCCCCCACCCCCACAGGUUGAGGCCAUUAGCUCUCAAUCUCUGGUCAACACCAGAAUCACCUGGAGGCUUACUUAAUGGGCAGAUGCAGGGGCCCGGGGCAUGGCCGAAACCUGCAUGCUCACUGGUGCACGCUACUGAUGCUGACACUGGACCUCGGGUGGGAUACCCUGCCAUGGGACGACAGGGACUUGCCGGGCCACCCUCAUGUCCCUAGUCCCCACAGUCCUGCCGGCUCCUGCCAUCUCAACUUCAAAACGAUGAGGCUGAGUGUCUUUAGACUGUUGGUUUUGCCUGCAGGGCCCCGGGCAGGGUCAGGGGGCCCUGUGAUCCUUGCAGGGCAUGCUGUGGCCAGGAGGCCACCGGCUGAGGAUGUGGCGGAGGGAGCAGCUUUCUCUCUCCCUCAGGACACUUUGUAAAGUCAGAAAGCGGGAGGGGGUGAGAGAGCCACGCUAGGCGCAAUCCAACACGGAGACCCUUGUUUGGUGACGGAGGGGUCAGACAGGGGACAGGGGGCUG